RNAcentral lists this ribosomal RNA (897 nucleotides) under Triticum aestivum (bread wheat). Its description in RNAcentral is "partial small subunit ribosomal RNA". Lineage: Eukaryota; Viridiplantae; Streptophyta; Magnoliopsida; Poales; Poaceae. The record is from RNAcentral.
AUGAGCGGCGGACAGGAGCUGAAUCUGCCGCCGGGCUUCCGGUUCCACCCGACGGACGAGGAGCUGGUGACGCACUACCUCUGCCGCCGCUGCGCCGGCGCGCCCAUCGCCGUCCCCAUCAUCACCGAGAUCGACCUCUACAAGUUCGACCCCUGGCAGCUCCCAAAGAUGGCGCUGUACGGCGAGAAGGAGUGGUACUUCUUCUCCCCGCGGGACCGCAAGUACCCCAACGGGUCCAGGCCCAACAGGGCCGCCGGGUCAGGGUACUGGAAGGCGACGGGGGCCGACAAGCCCGUGGGCACCCCCAAGCCGCUGGCCAUCAAGAAGGCGCUCGUCUUCUACGCCGGCAAGGCCCCCAAGGGCGAGAAGACCAACUGGAUCAUGCACGAGUACCGCCUCGCCGACGUCGACCGAUCCGCCCGCAAGAAGAACAGCCUCAGGUUGGAUGACUGGGUGCUGUGCCGCAUCUACAACAAGAAGGGCGGCUUGGAGAAGCCGGCGUCCGUGGACCGCAAGCCGGCGGCCAUGGGCGGCUACGGGGGUCCUCCUGGGGCCAUGGUGAGCUCCCCGCAGGAGCAGAAGCCCGUCAUGGGGAUGAACGCCAACGGCGGCGGUGGCGUGCAGCCGUUCCCGGACUUCGCGGCGUACUACGACCGGCCGUCCGACUCGAUGCCGCGGCUGCACGCCGACUCGAGCUGCUCGGAGCAGGUGCUGUCGCCGGACUUCCCGGCCGGGGAGGUGCAGAGCCAGCCCAAGAUCAGCGAGUGGGAGCGCUCAUUCGCCUCCGGCGGCGACCCUGUGAACCCGGCGGCCGGCUCCAUGCUCGAGCCCAACGGCGGCUUCGGCGGCGACCCGCUCCUCCAGGACAUCCUCAUGUACUGGGGCAAGCCGUUCUAA